UUAUGAAGUAACAAAGUUAAGCAGAAAAGGCAAAACAAUCUCAGAACUAAAACACAAUGUUGUUUCAUGGCUUUCUCCAAAUGUAAGUAGCCUCAUUGUUAUUUUCCCAAUUUUAGCUGUACUUAUGUAUUAAAGACAAAUUUGUGACACUUCACUAUAAAUCCAAUAGGGUGAGAAAACCAUUAUUUUUAUUAUUGAAUUAUUUCUGGACUCACUGUGGUUGUCAUUGUUCAACCAUUCUUUUCAUCUCAGGUAAAUAUUUAAUAAAGAAUACUUCUGCAAUUCGUUUAAUUGUAAUUCCUCCCAGCAUAUUGUAUCUGUAGUUCUGUAUGUUUAAGAUAGCUUUUCCAUUGUCAUAAUCAUUCUGCAGUUUCUUGUUUAUCUUCUUUGUGACAUAGCCCUCUUGUGACCACAGGUUAAGGUAUCUUAGCUCUGGUAGAGUUACUUGGACUGGUAA
This 457-nucleotide long non-coding RNA is filed under the name Homo sapiens (human). RNAcentral describes it as "non-protein coding lnc-RDX-10:1". Lineage: Eukaryota; Metazoa; Chordata; Mammalia; Primates; Hominidae. The record is from RNAcentral.